UCGAGCCCAGUACGGGUCAUAAGAGCGUCACCUUGCCAAGGUGGGGGUCGCGGGUUCGAAUCCCGUCGUUCGCU
This 74-nucleotide transfer RNA is filed under the name Streptococcus sanguinis. Its description in RNAcentral is "tRNA-Gly". It matches the Rfam family "tRNA". From Rfam's summary of the family: Transfer RNA (tRNA) molecules are approximately 80 nucleotides in length. Their secondary structure includes four short double-helical elements and three loops (D, anti-codon, and T loops). Lineage: Bacteria; Bacillati; Bacillota; Bacilli; Lactobacillales; Streptococcaceae. The record is from RNAcentral.